CUAUGGAUACCUAUAUUCGGGACUCCCUAGCUGCUGGAUUUAUCUGUCCCUCUUCCUCUCUUCUUCGUGGAGAAAAAAGACUAGAAUCUGCGCCCGUGCAUUGACUAUCGGUGCAUUGACUACUUCCCCCCAGUCAGCACUGACCUCGCCAAGGUUCCGUUCACGUGGUCUCCAGCUGCUGACCGGGCACUCCAGGACCUCAAACAUCGCUUCACCACAGCUCCCAUCCUGGUUCAUCCUGACCCAUCUCAUCAGUUCGUGGUGGAACUGAGGUUUCAGAUAUCGGAGUGGGGGCUGUCCUGUCCCAGCAUUCUGCCCUUGACUUCAAGCUAAAUCCCUAUGCCUUCUCCCAUUGCCUCAACGCCAUGGAAGGGAACUGCGAUGUGGGAAAUCAUGAGCUUCUCGCUGUGAAGUUGGCGUUGGAGGAAUGGAUGCACUGGCUGGAGGGGGCGGAACAUCCGCUCAUUGUGUGGACUGACCACAAGAACCUGGAGUAUCAAAUCAAAUCAAAUCAAAUCUGAAAAAGUAUCUCUGCACUGCCAAGCUCCACAACUCCAGCCAAGCCAGAUGGGCCCUGCUGUUCACACGAAUCAGCUUCUCCCGCUUAUACCGGCCGGGAUCCAAGAAUGUCAAGCUGGAUGCUAGCCCCAUGACUACUACCCUGGAACCCAAGACCAUCCUUCCCACUUCAUGCCUGGCGAUGGCACUCAGCUGGGGAGUAGGGAAGCAGGUCCGUGAGGCACAGCGUUCUCAGCCAAACCCCAGGGGGGGUCUGAUAACCGAAUGUUUGUUCCUGAUGCCGUCCACUCCGCUGUCAUGGAGUGGGCCCACUCCUCCAGGCUUGCCUGCCACCUGGGUGCCUGUCGGACGCUGGCCUUUGUGCGACAAAGCUUUUGGUGGUCAACUAUGGUUCCUGACGUGUCUGCAUUCAUCACCACUUGCACGGUGUGCACAGAACAAGACUCCUCUGCAAGCUCCGGCUGGUCUCCUCCAACCUCUGCCUGUCCCCCACCGUCCCUGGUCUCACAUCUCCCAGGACUUUGUCACAGGUCUUCCCCCAUCUGAUGGCAACAUCGCCAUCCUGACCGUGGUGAAUCGGUUUUCCAAAGCCGCCCACUUCAUUACUCUCCCCAAACUAUCCUCUGCAAAAGAGACGGCCCAGCUCAUGAUGCAGCACAUCUUAAGGAUCCAUGGACUGCCCGUGGACAUGGUCUCCGACCAGGGUCCUCAGUUCUCGUCCAAGUUCUGGAAGGUAUUCUUCACCCUCAUUUUGUCGUUGGCCAGCCUGUCCUCAGGGUUCCACUACCAGUCCAACGGCCAGUCAGAGCGAGCCAACCUGUGCUUCCUGGUCUCCGGCAACCCCACCACCUGGAGCCAGCAGUUUGUGUGCCUAUCUCCAUUUGAGUGUUCCCUGGGGUAUCAGCCCCCACUCUUCCCUGAGCAGGAAGAGGAGGUUGGCAUACCUUCUGCCCAGAUGUUUGUCUGCCGCUGUCGUCGUACCUGGAGGAGAGCCCAGUCAGCCCUCCUCAAGACCAUCUCCAGGUAUCGACGACAAGCAGAUUGCCAUCGGACCCCGGCUCCCCGGUAUCGUCUCAGGCAGAAGGCCCACCCCUCCCUUCCGUGUUGUUGAUGGCCAUCCACACAGUGAGAUGCCUCCUGAGGGUUUGACCACGGGGCAGGGGUUUCCAGUACCUGGUUGACUGGGAGGGUUAUGGCCUGGAGGGGAGAUGCUGGGUCCCCGCUAGAGACAUCCUGGACCCAACCCUCAUCACUGACUUCCACCGCCGGCACCCCGGUCAACCAGGAGGGAAGGAGGAAAACCAAUCGGCAUGGAUGGAGGCAAUGGAACAAACCAACACCUUGACUAAGCAGAGAGAGAGAAAACUGUGUCUCACAGUUACACUGUCCAGGGGCCAAUGGAAAGGGUGGAUAGAAGUGGACAAGUGUGUGUGUGUGCCUGGGUUUCCUGGACACCACCCGCCAUGUGCUUUAACAGGAACUCUGUCUGACUGCCA
Oncorhynchus tshawytscha (Chinook salmon) is the source of this 2015-nucleotide long non-coding RNA. The record is from Ensembl. Lineage: Eukaryota; Metazoa; Chordata; Actinopteri; Salmoniformes; Salmonidae.